UCUCCGUUGGUGAACCAGCGGAGGGAUCAUUAUCGAGUUUAUAACUCCCAAACCCUAUGUGAACUUACCACUUGUUGCUUCGGCGCGCGCUUCGGUGCCGCCGAGGACACUUAAACUCUUUGUUUUUAUAAGCAUUUCUGAGUGGCCGAAGGGCAAAAUACAAAUGAAUCAAAACUUUCAACAACGGAUCUCUUGGUUCUG
This 201-nucleotide unclassified non-coding RNA is filed under the name plant metagenome. RNAcentral describes it as "partial contains small subunit ribosomal RNA, internal transcribed spacer 1, and 5.8S ribosomal RNA". The record is from RNAcentral.